This 471-nucleotide ribosomal RNA is filed under the name uncultured bacterium. RNAcentral's name for it is "partial 16S ribosomal RNA". It matches the Rfam family "Bacterial small subunit ribosomal RNA", at positions 28 to 507 of the family's 1533-position model. The record is from RNAcentral.
GACGAACGCUGGCGGCGUGCUUAACACAUGCAAGUCGAACGAUGAAGCGGUGCUUGCACCGUGGAUUAGUGGCGAACGGGUGAGUAAUACGUGAGUGACCUACCUUUGACUCUGGGAUAAGCCUGGGAAACUGGGUCUAAUACCGGAUACGACCAAUCUCUGCAUGGGGUGUUGGUGGAAAGCGUUAUGGAGUGGUUUUAGAUGGGCUCACGGCCUAUCAGCUUGUUGGUGAGGUAAUGGCUUACCAAGGCGACGACGGGUAGCCGGCCUGAGAGGGUGACCGGCCACACCGGGACUGAGACACGGCCCAGACUCCUACGGGAGGCAGCAGUGGGGAAUAUUGCACAAUGGGCGCAAGCCUGAUGCAGCGACGCCGCGUGAGGGAUGACGGCCUUCGGGUUGUAAACCUCUGUUAGCAUCGAAGAAGCGAAAGUGACGGUAGGUGCAGAGAAAGCGCCGGCUAACUACGUG